UCAAACGAAACUCAAUUCAUGUAACCCAAUUCAUUUUUUCUUUUCUCAUAAAUCUCCAAUACGUAUUGUGCGCUAGUAGAAAUUGCACUCACAAAAUUUCCUUUUCUUCAAAUAUGUAGAGAUUGCUGCUUCAAAUCGAUAAUAUCAUUGACUUUUUGGUCUUGAGGAAAAAAUUCAGCUAGCAGUUAGUCAAAGUACUGUGGAUGAGUCUGAAAUUUCUCCCAAUGAUGCUAUGGGUAAGGUGCUAGGAAAAGAGCAUUCUGGGAGGGUAAGAUGUUUGGGAUUAGGAGAUACUCCAAGCACUCAUUUUAAACAAACAAAACCUCAUGUUGGUGGUAUUAGAAUUCCAAGUAACGAUGCUGGAUGUUCUUCUUUCGGAUGCCAAGACAAGUACGAUAAAUUGUUGAAUACUCUCAAAGCCUACAUGAUAAUGAAGGAAGGGUCAAUACCGGAACAAUUUGCUGGGAUCUUUGGUUCUCCUCCUAUAAUGCCGAGUGAUGCAGCUAGCAGCUAGCGGACCCAUGGAUGCAAGAAGAUUUCUAGCUCUAGUAAUCCUGCAAAGGCACUUGAUCAUCCUGUUGAAUAGUCCUUCGAUCAAACAAUCUACCGGGAGCAGAAUAGUUUAGCGGAUAGGAUGGCUCAAAUAGGAAUGUCAACAGCUGGUACUAAUAGGUUUUCACUGCAUGUUUUUGCGGAACCACCAACAAAUGCAGUGGACAUACUUACUGCUGAUAAACUAGGAACUACAUUCCUGCGAAAAGAUAGUCCCUGGGAUAUUAACUUCUUUUUUUCAACUACAACACCUGUCUACUUUGCUAAUGUAAAUAGUGCUAUUGUUACUACUUAAGUUGUAACUUCUGCUACUAGUCUUUUGCAAUGUAACAUGACUGCUGGGUUAAACUCCCAACUAUGUAAUCCUUAGUUGUGUUUAAUAUGAUUAGUAUUUUGGUGUUGACCCAUACUA
Lycium barbarum (goji berry) is the source of this 964-nucleotide long non-coding RNA. RefSeq lists it as uncharacterized. The record is from RefSeq and is a predicted model, not a curated record. Lineage: Eukaryota; Viridiplantae; Streptophyta; Magnoliopsida; Solanales; Solanaceae. The transcript has 4 exons.